AGAGUUUGAUCCUGGCUCAAGAACGAACGCUGGCGGCGUGCCUAACACAUGCAAGUCGUGCGAGAAAGUCCUUCGGGAGCGAGUAAAGCGGCGCACGGGUGAGUAACACGUAGGUAACCUGCCCCCCACGUCUGGAACAACUAGAGGAAACUCUAGCUAAUGCCGGAUGAGACCACGAUCCCUUCGGGGGUUGCGGCCAAAGAUGGCCUCUACUUGUAAGCUAUCGCUGAGGGAUGGGCCUGCGGGCCAUUAGCUUGUUGGUGGGGUAAUGGCCUACCAAGCCGACGAUCGGUAGCUGGUCUGAGAGGAUGAUCAGCCACACUGGGGACUGAGAUACGGCCCAGACUCCUACGGGAGGCAGCAGUGGGGAAUAUUGGACAAUGGGGGCAACCCCUGAUCCAGCAAUGCCGCGUGAGUGAUGAAGGCCUUAGGGUUGUAAAGCUCUUUUGCCAGGGAAGAUGAUGACUGUACCUGGAGAAUAAGCCCCGGCUAACUUCGUG
RNAcentral lists this ribosomal RNA (500 nucleotides) under uncultured bacterium. RNAcentral's name for it is "bacterial SSU rRNA". It matches the Rfam family "Bacterial small subunit ribosomal RNA", at positions 8 to 507 of the family's 1533-position model. The record is from RNAcentral.